AAUCACUCGCUUGCUCGAUGUUACGCAGAUUUUUCAGAUCUCGCCAGAAUAAUGUAAAACUGAUACGUUUAGGUUGCUAUGGUCGCUGCCAGGGCUCGUCACAUGACGUCUUCUACAGACUAUAAUAAAUAAGAAUAAAUAGGAAGAGGCAACAAUAAAUGAUCUAUGCCAGCGCAAGUCAAUAUUUAUCUGGCCAGUCAACUGGUUUUUAAUUUAAAAAAUCCCUCGCAGUCUGAACUGCAACAGCACGGUCUGCGGUGAGUUAAACAACGUUCAACUGCAGGAUCAAUAGCAUUCAGCGGUGAGUUUAACAACCCUCAAAUGCGGUUAAAACAACAUUCAGAGGGAAGCUUUAUUUAAACCGCGUUCAACUGCAGAUAAAACAACAUUCAGAGGUGACUUUAACAACGCUCCACGGCGCGUGGGAGUAGCAUUUUAAGCGUUUUCUGAUCAUGUAGGUAAGUGCUUUGAUUAACUUUAGACGUGAUGCAUGCUGGGUGGCAAAUAUUUUUUAUCAAAGGCUCGUUGAUGGUAAUAAAUAUACAUAUAAAUAUACAUUUUACUAUAAUACGAUUGUUUUCGAUUAAUUAAUGGGUUGUUUAAUUAUUAAUUUGUUUAUUUUAAAUCCUGUAAUUUAACAACUCUGACGUCAUCGAAUGCGACGAUGCCAAGGUCCAUUGCGAUUUCCACUCGGUCCUUCAACUCUUUAUACCCCCAUCACACACACACACACACACACACACACACACACACACACACACACACACACACACACACACACACACACACACACACACACACACACACACUCACACACACACUCACACACACACACACACACACACACACACACACACACACACACACACACACACACACACACACACACACACACACACACACACACACACACACACACUUUCUUGGUAAUCUGUAAGAAGAGGAGGCAGCAGCACCAGAGAAGACACCUGAGCCGAGGGUGCAUUGGAGACAAAGAGACACUGAUGUAAAUAUUGUCUAUGCAAGGCCAAGGUCAUGCAGGAAUCAACCAAAGAAAGGAUUCCCCUUUCAAAACAGGAAAAAUGGGACCUUUAAACAGAGAGCUUGCACCACCAUUUCAAACUGCUGAUCACAUUCAGAACACUGAUCCUCCCAAUGCUCCUGACACUCAUUGUGAGGUGGCCUUUGCUCCAGAGACUGUUGAGUGCAUUCACUGAACGAUUUCUCAGGUGACGAGGCAUCACCUCCUGGAACCCCAAGAGAUCUUCUUCUGGCUUCCUCAAACUGGAGAACACGUCAAAGUCUCUUCAGAGAGGUGGAGGGCAUGUGGUAGCACACAUCUGCCUAAGGAAUGUGCAGUGGGAGACUUAAACAGAAGUGGGUACUGGCCUGCAACCCUUCAACUCACCACAAUUUAUGCCAUAGAUAUCUUGUUUUCAUUUCAAGAAAUGAAGAUGGCGGCACCAGGACUGUCCUGUCAAGCAUUUUUUAAGAAUGCUGGAUCAGCGAACUGUCUGCUUUGGUCGUACUGGCAAGAUCUCAGCAGACAGUUUUCAGAAAAGUUUUUUGAGUGGGAGGCUGUGCGAUUCAAGGUGGACAAUAUAUGCAAGGAAGAGCCUUUCACCUGCCCUGCAUGCACCCCAGAGAUUAUCAUUUCAAGGAUACUGCUAGAUCUGAGGAACCGGCCAUCUUUGAAGGUGUCUUUAUAGCCAAGGAUAAAGAUGUUACCAGAUUUCUGGACUACAUUCACAACACAACCACAACGAAAAGCUUGCCAGAAAACAGGAUGUAACCUGUGAAAUGGAGUGAGGCAAAUGCAGGAUGUUGCUGUAUUAACACUAGGAGAGGAGGUGGGACAGUGCAGUACCUUCCUCUCUAGGAUUGCAGUGACUACAAAACAAUUGUGAAAAGCAGGACGCGCAGACAAUCUGCCUCUCAUGGCCAUGCGCUGGAAUCAGCAAAAGUUUAACAAUUUAGCCAUCUUAAUUACUCGUCGAUAUCAGAAGACCAAAAAGCUCUGGAAAGCCAGUUAGAAAACCUAGAGUCCAUGAAAGCCCAAUUGGCAGUGACAGAAAGCUAAUUGGAAGGCUAGACUCUGUACAUCUAAGUCAGUUUGGAGACUUCAGGAGGAGCAGAAGAUGCUUGUUGCAGAGAUGGACCAUCAUUGGAAAUCUCUAAGCUUGUGCUGAUGCCAUCAGAGAGCUGUCCUGCUUGUUUUCUAAUGAGACAAUGAAAAAUUCACCAUGUGGCCUAAGUGAAGAGGGUCUAAAAGGUCUGCUGAGCACCAUUCUCAGAGAGCAACAUAAAAUCAGAAAAAUUUGCAAGCAAGAGACUGUUACCUACAAGUUUUGUCUGGAGCAGAGAACAUCAACUUCUUGUACAGUGCUUCACCUGAUGAGUACGACAGUGACUUUGACAUUUCUGAUGAUGGUCUGUAAUCCACAAGACUGUCACCUUCCAUCAUUCUGGACAAAGACUUCUAACUGUCAAUAUAAAGCAUUUAAUAAAAUCUACUUUUCAUAACCUUA
Long non-coding RNA from Paramisgurnus dabryanus, 2528 nucleotides. RefSeq lists it as uncharacterized. Lineage: Eukaryota; Metazoa; Chordata; Actinopteri; Cypriniformes; Cobitidae. The record is from RefSeq and is a predicted model, not a curated record.